This 67-nucleotide transfer RNA is filed under the name Scylla serrata (giant mud crab). RNAcentral describes it as "tRNA-Asp". The record is from RNAcentral. RNAcentral also lists the same sequence under 1 other name. Lineage: Eukaryota; Metazoa; Arthropoda; Malacostraca; Decapoda; Portunidae.
AAGAAAUUAGUUAAAUUUAUAAUAUUAAUUUGUCAUGUUAAAGUUAUCUUCUUUAAGAUAUUUCUUA